This 253-nucleotide ribosomal RNA is filed under the name uncultured bacterium. Its description in RNAcentral is "partial 16S ribosomal RNA". It matches the Rfam family "Bacterial small subunit ribosomal RNA", at positions 524 to 776 of the family's 1533-position model. The record is from RNAcentral.
UACGGAGGGUGCAAGCGUUAUCCGGAUUCAUUGGGCUUAAAGGGUGCGUAGGUGGGUUGGUAAGUCCGUGGUGAAAUCUCCGAGCUUAACUCGGAAACUGCCGUGGAUACUAUCAAUCUUGAAUACUGUGGAGGUAAGCGGAAUAUGUCAUGUAGCGGUGAAAUGCUUAGAUAUGACAUAGAACACCGAUAGCGGAGGCAGCUUGCUACACAGUCAUUGACACUGAGGCACGAAAGCGUGGGGAUCAAACAGG